UACGAAGGGGGCUAGCGUUGCUCGGAAUCACUGGGCGUAAAGCGUGCGUAGGUGGUUCGUUAAGUCUGAUGUGAAAGCCCUGGGCUCAACCUGGGAAUGGCAUUGGAAACUGGCGACCUAGAGUGCGGUAGAGGGUAGUGGAAUUCCCGGUGUAGCAGUGAAAUGCGUAGAGAUCGGGAGGAACAUCUGUGGCGAAGGCGACUGCCUGGACCAGCACUGACACUGAGGCACGAAAGCGUGGGGAGCAAACAGG
This 253-nucleotide ribosomal RNA is filed under the name uncultured bacterium. Its description in RNAcentral is "partial 16S ribosomal RNA". It matches the Rfam family "Bacterial small subunit ribosomal RNA", at positions 524 to 776 of the family's 1533-position model. The record is from RNAcentral.